GAUGAACGCUGGCGGCGUGCCUAAUACAUGCAAGUCGAGCGAACAGACGAGGAGCUUGCUCCUCUGACGUUAGCGGCGGACGGGUGAGUAACACGUGGAUAACCUACCUAUAAGACUGGGAUAACUUCGGGAAACCGGAGCUAAUACCGGAUAAUAUAUUGAACCGCAUGGUUCAAUAGUGAAAGACGGUUUUGCUGUCACUUAUAGCUGGAUCCGCGCCGCAUUAGCUAGUUGGUAAGGUAAAGGCUUACCAAGGCAACGAUGCGUAGCCGACCGGAGGGGGUGAUCGCCCACACUGGAACUGGGACACGGUCCAGGCUCCUACGGGAGGCAGCAGUAGGGAAUCUUCCGCAGUGGUCGAAAGCCUGGCGGAGCAACGCCGCGUGAGUGAUGAAGGUCUUCGGAUCGUAAAACUCUGUUAUUAGGGAUGAACAACUGUGUAAGUAACUAUGCACGGCUUGACGGUACCUAAUCAGAAAGCCACGGCUAACUACGUG
This 497-nucleotide ribosomal RNA is filed under the name uncultured bacterium. Its description in RNAcentral is "partial 16S ribosomal RNA". It matches the Rfam family "Bacterial small subunit ribosomal RNA", at positions 28 to 507 of the family's 1533-position model. The record is from RNAcentral.